RNAcentral lists this ribosomal RNA (254 nucleotides) under uncultured bacterium. RNAcentral describes it as "partial 16S ribosomal RNA". It matches the Rfam family "Bacterial small subunit ribosomal RNA", at positions 524 to 776 of the family's 1533-position model. The record is from RNAcentral.
UACGUAGGGGGCGAGCGUUGUCCGAAUUUACUGGGCGUAAAGCGCGCGUAGGCGGUUUCUUAAGUCUGGGGUGAAAGGUUCAACGCUCAACGUGAACAGUGCCUUGGAUACUGGGAGACUUGAGUCUGGGAGGGGGUAGUGGAAUUCCUGGUGUAGCGGUGAAAUGCGUAGAUAUCAGGAGGAACACCGGUGGCGAAGGCGCUCAUCUGGCCCAAUACUGACGCUGAGGCGCGAAAGCUAGGGGAGCAAACGGG